Molecule: long non-coding RNA, 2338 nt
Organism: Oncorhynchus keta (chum salmon)
Lineage: Eukaryota; Metazoa; Chordata; Actinopteri; Salmoniformes; Salmonidae
Exons: 3
Source: RefSeq, a predicted model, not a curated record
UGUGCUAUCUCUCUAUCUCUGCUCUCUCUCUCUGUUCUCUCUCUCUCUGCUUUCUCUCUCUGCUUUCUCUCUGCUAUCUCUCUAUCUCUGCUCUCUCUCUCUGUUCUCUCUCUCUCUGCUUUCUCUCUCUGUUCUCUCUCUGCUCUCUCUCUGCUUUCUCUCUCUGCUUUCUCUCUGCUAUCUCUCUAUCUCUGCUCUCUCUCUGCUAUCUCUCUAUCUCUGCUCUCUCUCUCUUCUCUCUCUCUCUGCACUCUCGCUAACUCUACCUCUAUCUCCCUUCCCUCUCUGUCUACCUCUACCUCCCUUCCCUCUCUGUCUACCUCUACCUCCCCUCUCUCUCCCUCUGUGUUCUGAAUGCGAGUGGUGGGUCCGUGCUAGUGAGCCUCCAGCUGCCCAUCAGGAGGGUGAGGGGAAUAGUGGGUUAGAUGAGGAUGGGCUGCUAGUUUCCAUGCCAACCUAUAGAAUGUCUCCAAAGCCUGGCACGGGGCAGACCAUAAGUCCCCCCUCCGGAAAGAUGCCAUGCUGAACGUAAUCAUGGGCUGCACUCAAGGUGUGAAUGAGAUGAACAGAAACCCCUCUGUGUCUGGUAAUAAUAAUAGUUUGGUGGGGGCUUGUAUGUGUCCUAUUUCACACAUGUCCAAGUGGGUAUUAUAGACCUGUGGGAAUUGGAAGUGUAUUUUUGCAUAUCCCACCUCCCCUGAGACACCCUCGGAGAGUGGGGUCACGGCCAGGGUCAGCCAUUAUCAGCGGUGACCUUUGGAGCAAUUAGGGUUAAGUGCCUUGCUUAAGGGAACAUCAACAGAUUUUUCACCUCAUCGGCUCAGGGAUUCAAACCCGGGACUUUUCUUACUGCCCUAACACUAUAAUCGCUAGGCUGCCUGCCGCCCAGAUCUCUGCUCUGCUGUUCUGGUUGUGCUGCUUGUGCAUUUUGGACUCACCCCUUGUUACAAAGAUGCAGGGUUGUUGAAUCCAGCAGACUGUUUAGGGGACUGGUAUUGAGUCAAGGAUGAACACAAAUGAGGAGCCUUCCAUUUUAAAAGUGGAUAGCAAAGGCUAGUUUAUAGUGACACCUCGAUGCCUAGGUGUUCCACGUGUUCUAGAAGACAGGGUGGAGGAGGGCAUGACCCAUUAAAGCAGUGGUCCAAACGGCCUGAUUCCAGUGCUGCUGGACUUUUAGCGUUUGCAUCAGGGUCAUUCAACUCUGGCAGGGAGGAUGAUGGAGUCAAACGGCUGGAAACGCUCAGUCCUCUUUUUCUCAUUUGAAUGUAUUUCGGUCCCACUCCAGCCUUGCUGAACUGCUAUGUCAACUCACAUGUUAUCCACUGACUGGGGGAGUUGUGGUAAGAGCAAUGUAACAAGACUAAAUUAUCUUUCAAUGAAAAAGGGUUUGUGGGGGGUUGGAAUAUGGAGAAGAGUUUGAAGGCUCCUGCCUAGAUGGGACACAUCUCACAUAUACACUCAGAAUGUUGUUGUCAAGAUCAAAACGAGGUUGGAUGGGAGAUGAAUAGUUGUAGCUCAGAAUGUUUUGCUGCAGAAACAGUUAUGAUAUAAAGUAGGCCAGAGUAAGAGCGGUGUUUCCCACACCAUGACUCCGUUGGUUCCAACACAACAGGCUGGUGCAGUAGGUAAUGGAUAAGCAUGGCCAGAGUAAGAGCGGUGUUUCCCACACCAUGACUCCGUUGGUUCCAACACAACAGGCUGGUGCAGUAGGUAAUGGAUAAGCAUGGCCAGAGUAAGAGCGGUGUUUCCCACACCAUGACUCCGUUGGUUCCAACACAACAGGCUGGUGCAGUAGGUAAUGGAUAAGCAUGGCCAGAGUAAGAGCGGUGUUUCCCACACCAUGACUCCGUUGGUUCCAACACAACAGGCUGGUGCAGUAGGUAAUGGAUAAGCAUGGCCAGAGUAAGAGCGGUGUUUCCCACACCAUGACUCCGUUGGUUCCAACACAACAGGCUGGUGCAGUAGGUAAUGGAUAAGCAUGGCCAGAGUAAGAGCGGUGUUUCCCACACCAUGACUCCGUUGGUUCCAACACAACAGGCUGGUGCAGUAGGUAAUGGAUAAGCAUGGCCAGAGUAAGAGCGGUGUUUCCCACACCAUGACUCCGUUGGUUCCAACACAACAGGCUGGUGCAGUAGGUAAUGGAUAAGCAUGGCCAGAGUAAUGAGCCAAACAGAAAAAAAGCUUGUAAAGUGAAUUUCAAUUUCAGAUUGAUGGGAAGUGUGGGAUGAUGAUGAUUAGAAGAAAGGAUUGUAACAGGUCGAAUUAGAGGCCCAGCAUUAGAUGAUAUCAGAAUGAUCUCACACGUACAGUAGAAAUACUUCCAGUAUGUUAUGACUCC